CGACGUAGCCCAGAGCCCGUAUACUCGACCUGCCGCCUUUGAGUACGAAUGGGGCGACAGGACGUCGCCCCAAGCCGAGGGGGCACAGGACGUGCCCUCCGAGGCGGUUCGUACGAAACAGGCAGGUCGAGUAUACGAUUGGGCCAGGGCGUAGGCG
Dethiosulfovibrio salsuginis is the source of this 157-nucleotide non-coding RNA. The record is from Rfam. Lineage: Bacteria; Thermotogati; Synergistota; Synergistia; Synergistales; Dethiosulfovibrionaceae.